GAAACGGUAGCUCAACGGAAGAGCUUUGACCAUCCACGUCAACGGCUGCGGGUUCGAUUCCCGUCCGUUUCA
Molecule: transfer RNA, 72 nt
Organism: Oryza sativa Indica Group (long-grained rice)
Lineage: Eukaryota; Viridiplantae; Streptophyta; Magnoliopsida; Poales; Poaceae
Rfam family: tRNA
About the family: Transfer RNA (tRNA) molecules are approximately 80 nucleotides in length. Their secondary structure includes four short double-helical elements and three loops (D, anti-codon, and T loops). Further hydrogen bonds mediate the characteristic L-shaped molecular structure. tRNAs have two regions of fundamental functional importance: the anti-codon, which is responsible for specific mRNA codon recognition, and the 3' end, to which the tRNAs corresponding amino acid is attached (by aminoacyl-tRNA synthetases). tRNAs cope with the degeneracy of the genetic code in two manners: having more than one tRNA (with a specific anti-codon) for a particular amino acid; and 'wobble' base-pairing, i.e. permitting non-standard base-pairing at the 3rd anti-codon position.
Source: Rfam